GUUCGCCACCCUCCCCAAAAUAAAAAAAAUCGCUCGAUCGAAAAGGUUUUGCCCUGAGUUCUCACCCCUGCGGCCCUGCCACCGACCCCAGCCCCCAUCCCUUCCCCUCCCCCUCUUCCCUUCCGGCCGCUCGCCGAACGCCAUCGGAAGCCCCCGCGGGGCCACAUCGAAGAUCGGGUUCUUCGCUCUUCAGAAAUCAGAACCCUCCUCGUCGCCUCUUCCUCUUCCGCUCUCCAGCGAUGGAUCAGUAAUCGGGUGGUUCUUUACAAGAAUUUUUAUGCUUUAGUCUCUCUCUCUCUCUCUCUCUCUCUCUUUCCUUUAUUUCAUCUUCUCUUAAUUGCUGACUGUAUGGUUUUGAGUAACAAGACCAUGACUACAAAAUGUAGCGUCAUUGUGAACAUGCAUUUAUUAAGAUUCAUUACUUCUUUUUUAUCUUUAGUCUCUACAGCAUACAUGAAUAUGCCCAGCAUACAAGAAUAAUCAGCAAAUAAGGUUUUAAGAAUUAAGACCUCAAAAGGUUUGAUAUGCCCAGCAGGUUGUGAGUACGGUUUGAAAGCCACAAGCAUAUGCAUUGAUUAAAAACCAAGGGAGAUCUAGCAAACUUAACAAAGGCUAAAAAACAUGGGUGUUAACUGACAAUACUGUGAAUUCCCGAUGAAUUUGGAGAAAUAGCAAUAUGGAGACACAGAUUUGAGUUUGCUGUUUGCUUAAUUAUUUAUUUAUUUUGGGGCAUAAUAUAGUUUGCUAUAUUUUUUUUACUUAAUUAGCUUAAUUUUGUAGCUCUUUAUUCUUAUAUUCUUAAGAAUUAUGUGUGUUUAUGCUAAUAGCAUAAAUCUUGAGAGAAAAAAAAACUUAAUUUAACAGCCGAAUUUUUGAUCCCGAAUUUUUAAUUGGUGAACGUAUAAUAUCCGCAUAAAUCACGUAUCCAAAUAAUCGGCGAAUCCGUUUUUUAACUGUAUUUUUCAACAAAUUUAAAAAUUAGAAGACGAAUUUUAUCCGAAUUAUACCCGUACCGAAUUUUUGCCGAAUCCGAAUUAACUAACUAUGCUGGAGAAUGCGGCUCAGCAUGGCAUGUCUUUUGGCCGGAUUCAUGCCAUGUAGGGCCGCCUCCGAUCUAUUUCGGUCUAGGAAAAUGUUUGCGAAAGUAAUCCAAUGCCUGAAAGAAAAUAUUUUAUAUAUUGAAUUAACACAUGCCCGUUUUACACCCUGAUUAGUAGAUCUCCAGAAUAUCCAAAUCCAGAACAAGUCAAAAUCAUCAAUUCGCCACAACAGUCGUUGCCACCACCACGUUCCAGAGUCCCACAGUAGACCCAGUAAUGGCAGUCCCCCAUUCCCACGUACUCCACCACCAACACCACAUCCAGAUCCAAGGACUACAAUCAAAUCAUUCCUUUGAGUCCCCAAUCGGACGGCGGAUGAUCCACUUAAUCAAAUCACCAUCUUCACCAUUGGGGAUGAAUAGGAGGAGGGAAUCAUCGAGUUUUCGGAUCGCAGUAGUGUCGGAGGUGAGAGAGAAGAAGAAGAAAAAGGAGUUGGAAGGGGUGGGGGAGGAGCUGAAUUCCGUGGCGGCACAGAAUCUCGACCGGGCACCUGCUCGCCGCCGCGUUCGAUCUGCCUUCCUCGACGUCCAACGCAAUUUGGAUCACUUCUUGUUCAAGAUGGCUCCGACGGGGAUCCCAACAGAAGAGAGAUAUGAGACUAAUUCGAAGGGGUUAGAGAUAUUCUGGAAGAGCUGGUUACCAAGGCCUGGCAUUACCCCUAAGGCUGCCCUCUUCUUUUGCCACGGCUAUGGCGAUACCUGCACCUUCUUUUUCGAAGGUAUUGCAAAGAGAAUAGCUGAGUCUGGAUAUGCAGUAUAUGCCAUGGAUUACCCGGGCUUUGGCCUCUCAUAUGGACUACAUGGCUACAUCCCAAGCUUUGACGGAAUGGUCAAUCAUGUCAUUGAGCAGUAUGCACGCAUCAGAGGGUUAAAGGAAGUGAAUGGGCUACCACACUUUCUGUUGGGGCAGUCCAUGGGAGGAGCAGUUGCUCUCAAAGUACAUCUAAAGCAACCGGCGGAGUGGGAUGGGGUACUUCUUGUUGCACCAAUGUGUAAAAUUGCAGAAGAUGUGACACCGCCAGGGCCAGUUUUGAAGGCGCUUACUCUACUGUCAUAUGUUUUACCUGAAGCAAAGCUGUUCCCACAGAAAGAUUUGGGAGAUUUGGCUUUUAGGGAUUCAGCAAAAAGGAAAAUUGGUAUUUCUUAUACUCUUCCUCCAAGAGUUUCAGGCUCCGAUGCCGCUUCCUUUGCUGAGCACCCGGAUCUAAUUAACUAGAGUACCCCUUGGAGGAUCGUUAGAUAGCAAGAAGAGAAUACCACCACAAGAGGAACGGAAAAGGUCAGAAGUUACCAACAGAUGAAUGAAAUAUCACUAAGCCCAGCAGGACCAAGAUGAACUGAGCGGCACAAGAGGAACCGACCAGCACCAAGGAAUCAGUAGAGAGGUCGAGCGGCCGCAAGGAACUAACAGAGGGGGUCGAGCGGCACCAAGGAACUAGCAAAGAGGUUGAGCGGCAGCAAGGAAGCAGUAGAGGGGGUUGAGCGGCACCAAGGAACCAGUAGAGAGGUCGAGCGGCACCAAGCAGCAGAGAGGCUGAGUUCAACGUAAUCUCGUACUGCGACCAAAUGCGACUGAGGACAGCUGUUGAACUUAUAAAGGCAACGAAGGAUAUCGAAUCACAAUUGGACAAGGUUUCCUGUCCAUUGCUGAUUC
This is an RNA transcript of Ananas comosus (pineapple), 2753 nucleotides long. It is a transcript of the gene named caffeoylshikimate esterase-like, with no coding region annotated. The transcript has 10 exons. Lineage: Eukaryota; Viridiplantae; Streptophyta; Magnoliopsida; Poales; Bromeliaceae. The record is from RefSeq and is a predicted model, not a curated record.